Molecule: long non-coding RNA, 4688 nt
Filed under: Scophthalmus maximus (turbot)
Lineage: Eukaryota; Metazoa; Chordata; Actinopteri; Pleuronectiformes; Scophthalmidae
Description: lncRNA (ENSSMAG00000028873.1)
Source: RNAcentral
AUGCCCAGCAAGAGGAAGAAGAACAAGCGCCGCAUGAAGAGGGUGCAGGCCCAGAGGAGAGCACUCGAAGAGCAGUAUGCGGCCAACCGGCCGGCCAAGGCGGGCCCGGCGAUUGCCGUGAGUGCGCCCCCUGCAGCGACCCCGAAGAAAGCGGCCAAACCUCCAGCACCGGCUCCAAAGAAGAUCCCAGAGGCCGUUCCCAUUGCUGUUCCCAUCGCCGUGCCCAUCGCCGUGCCCGUUGUGGAGACGCCCAAAGUCGAACCCAAGCCAGUUGUGGAGGAACCCGUCGCACUGCCCGUCCCAGUCAAAGAAGAGGCACCAGAGCCCGAGGCUGUGGUGGCGGCAGUGGAACAGACUCCGGCAGAAGUGGAGGUUGAAGUCCCAGCGCCCGUCGCCGAAGAAGCGCCGGUCGUCGCCGAGACGCCACCGGUGGCGGCUCCUGAAGUUGAAGCGCCGGUCGUCGCCGAGACGCCACCGGUGGCGGCUCCUGAAGUUGAAGCGCCGGUCGUCGUCGAGACGCCACCGGUGGCGCCUUCUGAAGUUGAAGCGCCGGUCGCCGUCGAGACCCUGUCGCCUUCUGAAGUUGAAGCUGCCGUAGAACCCGAGGCUGAGCCCGUCAUUCCUGAAACAGAACCAGUAGCUGAGGUUACACCCCCGGCUGAGGCUCCAGUGGCUGCUCCCGCUGAGACUGAGGUUACUACGCUCGCCGCCGAGGCUCCGGCAGCAGCUCCUUCGGAGGCGGAGGUUGAGUCGGUUGAAGCUACAAUCGUGCCCACGGAGACGGAACCAACCGAGGCCAAACAGACGCAUGAUGUCUGCGAGCCAGAGACUCGGGUGGAGGCCGCGGCCUCGGCAGAGGAGGACACAGUCGCUGCCGUGGGAGCGGUCGCCGCGGUCGAAGAGGUCGCCGCGGUCGACCAACAGUCUGCCGAGGCGGAACCUGCUGCAGCCGAGGAGGUCGCGACGGCGGAGGAGAAGAUCGCCGAGACCGAACAGGCGACUGAAGCCGGCGUCAGUCCUGCAGCCGAGGAGGAAGCUGAAGUAGAAGUGUUGGCGGAAGAAGACGCACCAGCGGUCCCCGCUGAGCCGGUUACAAUCGCAGAGACUGUUCCUGUCCAAUCUGUGGAAAUCCCAGAGGUGCCAGCCUCCAUCCCCGAGGCGCCGGUAGAAGAAACUCCCGUGGCUGAAGUAACGGAGGCGCCCGUCCCCCAGGAUGUCGCCGACGUGGUGGUCGACGACUUCGUCGUCACGGAGUCCGUGUCAGCAGUGGAGGACGCCAUUGCCGAGUCUGUCGCCGACAAAGAGGUUCUGACAGUUGAUGCUACAGUCGUAACCGCGGAGACCGAACAGGAAAUCGUGGUCACGAGCGACGCCCCCAGCGCCCCGACAGAGUCCGUGGAUGCGACCCCCGCUGAGCCCGAGCCCGCCGCUGCCCCUGCGUUGGACACGGUCAUUGAUGCUGCUGUGGAUCAGAAAUGUCUGACCGUGCUGUCAGAGGAACCAAAGCCAGAAAUCCGUGACCUGCCGUGUCAGAUGCAGCUCGCCGUCGAGUCCAUGCAACUCAACUCAAUGGAGACGCCAGUGGAGACGGCGUUGAAUGGACACAUGGUUCCAGAGGUCUCCAUUGAGGGUUAGAGCCCCAGAGCAGGACCUUCCCCCCCCCGUGUAAGUUUCUCUCAUAUUGAAUCAGUCCUUUUAUCGCAUAGUUUAAAGAAUAUUGCAUUCUGGAGACUCGAGUUAAGACUUCUUCCUGCAGCCACUCACCAGGAUCCUGUCUUCUUUGUGCAAUUUCAGAUUCCCCUUUGGUGCCUUUGAGGACUCAAAGUUUUAAAGGGGGGGCUUUGCGACAGAACCGUCAGGAAAUCCGAGGAAUAUCCACACUUUGAAGUGCCUCUCCUGCCCCCGGUUUCCUGUCAAAAGCCCCAAACCAGAUGUCAACACUGAUGCGUUCGGGGCAGCAGAGCGGACUGUUGUCAUUCGUUUGCAGAAAAUGGAAACGCACCUAUUGUGGCUCCUUUUAAAAAAGAUAAAUAAAAUUAAAUAAAAAAAAAAUUAAAUAAAUAUGUAUUUCUCUCCCUGGAUUCGAGCAGUGACCGGUAUUUCUUACAUAAUCCCAUCUCUCUCGAACAUCUGCGAACACUGUAGCCUAAGUGAAAGCGGCUACAGUUUGCACUUGGGCCUUUUGUUCAUACAUUUUUCCUGUUUUUCUGAUUCACAUUUCUAAAUCUGAAUUUGCUUCGUCUCCUGUACCCGGGAGUCGCAGUGUCAAACUUCAACCCAGCUUCUGUUUCCGCCUCCUCUCAGGGCCACUGCUAACAUUAGUCUAAUGCUACAACACAUCCCAGAACUAGACGUUGGGGUGUUUCUGUCUUUUUUUGUUUUGUUUGUUUCUUUCCCUCGCUCCUUUUUUUUUAAAAAUUUUGUAUAGAUCAUAUGAUGUGCUACAGUUUUGUGUUCAAAGUCUGCUCUGGAGGGAGGGAAGUGAUUUUUUUAUUUUAGGGCUGUUUGAUGGUCUGACUUGAUCUAACUUUGAAAUAAAGCUGUUACGCAUCGUGAUGCUGAGUACGUGUUUCACUGUUCAUACACGGUUACGACACAACGGAAAUAUCCAAUUUAAAAUGUAUUUAAUUUGCAGGUCAGUUCAGUAGCAACAACAAUCUUUUGAGGGCUUUCAAAGAUUGUUUUUUUCUUUCUAAUUUAUCCUCUUGGAGCUGCAACAGUUAAUCGAUUACUUAAUCGUCAACUAUUUUGAUAAAGGGUUCAAGUCGAAAUUCUCUGAUUUCAGCUUAUUAAAUGUGAAUAUUUUCUAGUUUCUUUGCUCCUCUGUGACGGCAAACUAAAUAUCUUUAGUGUUGACCAAACAUAAUCUUGGGGGUUUGGGAAAAAGGAUUGACAUUUUUAAUUUAAUGGACUAAUAGAGAAAAUAAUUGACUAUCGAUUACGAAAAUAAUCGGUAGUAGCCCUACUUAAAGAAAAUUUAGUGGGUUUUUUACAUAAUUGAUAGUAGUGGAGGGAAAUCAUCUGGCUUUAGAGAUUUCAUGUGAGGGAUGUGGAUGGAGAAGAAGCAAAUGGUUUACUUCAACUCAUGUCAACCAGAAGCCCAUUAGUUAAGCAUAAUUGCUUAAAAUAGAUUUUUUUUUUUACCAAAAGGGUCAUGGACACAAAUAAUGACUAAUCUUCCGCUAGCAAUUGGCUGAUUUAAAAAUGAUCAGUACUUGAACUGGAAUGAGAUGCAUUCAAAAAUUAUCACAUUCACAUUUGUACCAUUGAAGAUAAAUGGCAUGUUUGAAAAGAGACGGAACAGUUACUUCUCAAGAAUUGAACUACUUUUAUGAUUGUUAAAAUGAAGACAAUGAAACGCGAACAUUUACCUCGGAUCAAAAGAUUUUUUUUAAUCAUUUUGUUUUUGCAUUGAAAUCUACAUUCAUAUUAGUGAUGAUACAAUUUGGUUCAGUAAACACUGCCAGUAUGUGGUUUUACAAUCCUCCCUCUUUAUACUUAAGAUCACACGGUCAACAUGGGUUUCAGCUGAAUUUCAAGCAUCGGUGUAGUUUAUUUUUUAUUUAUGUUUACUGGCCCCGGUCAUGAUGGAAUCAUAGCAAAAUGUCCAAGCGCAAAACAGAAGGAAUGACUUCAGUUCUGCCAUAAUAGGAAGAAAAAAAAAAAAGACAGACAAAUGAUAAACGCAUAACCACAUAACAGCAGAGGAUAUAUAUAUAUAUAUUGGUAAAAGCACAUUCGUAUUAAUCGAUACUUUGGAAUGAAAACAACAACCAAGAGGCUGUGAUCAACCAACUGCCCCGUGUUCACUCGGCACAUUCCACUUAUAUAUUAUCUGAUUUUUUUUUAUCAGUUAUUAAUAUGCAUGAAUACGUGUCAUUAUGACCCCCCAAAAAAAACAAUAAAUAAGAAAACAGGUGAUCAGAUUGGUCCAUGAGGUAAAAAUGUGAAUAAAAAAAAAGGGCAAAAGUUGGAAAGAAACACGCACAAAAAGGAACACGUGGCUGAAAAAAGGAUAUGAAUACAGAAAAGAUUGUGACUGCAGACAAGAAAAGCAUGUUGUCCAACAAGGUUUCAUCACCCCACCCCCAGAGAGAAACACACACACUGACUCGCACACGCCCAAUCACAUUCACACCGUCAUCUUACACUUGAUGGAUGAGAUUUUUUUUAUAUUUACAAAGAAAUAUUGAUUAACUGACAAAAAGCUCCGCCCUCCCCCCUCGUUUCACUUUUUCAUCUCGUCCUAUGCACUGACAAUCCCCUGAACUCGGCGCUGGAGGUGGGCGGGGCUUCCAGAGACAAAGAGGAGGACGGGGAGUGGGGGGUUAAUGAAGACGGUGAUGAUGGAGUCGCUGUGGAAGCAAGUAGUUCUGCCACUCCAGCAGGUUGACUCAGUUUCUGCUACAAGAAAAAGAGCACUUCAAUAAAAAAUAAAAAAAAAAUAGAGAAAGCCACCGCCCAUUUGGACUACCCUGGUUUGAAAAUCAAACAGACAGCCACCUGCUGUUGUUCAGAGGUUAAGUGUGGGGAGGAGCAUGCAGUUCGCGACGCAGCGCGGCCCGAAUGGGUGGGAAUUCAAAGAGCACUUCAAAAGACAAAACGGCCCGCUCGGGUUUAUAUUCGGGGCUCCAAAAUAAGUUCAGCUCCUCCGUCAGAAGUUAGAGGUUUAGGACGCGGAGUGUGAG